CGUCAUGGUGAAACAAGCGGGGGCUAAUGGUAUUUUGGCAUCUGGGAUGAGGUUUACAGCUAGGUUGGGCAUCCUCUUCAUCAAAACCAUGAAAACUUUGUCUGGUUUGGGCGUUUGGCAGCUCCUCCCCUGGGCUUCAGACGGGGUCAGAAGUGAAUUACGAGUCAGACCAAUAUGCGAAUCGAGCGACCUCCCCUUCCCCUUGCAUGCAAUGAUGUGGUGAACCUCCUCUCGAUCAUUCUAAUUCCAGAGAGCAAUUUCGUCGAUACACGGGAUGGUCCGGAAUCCCCAAAAUCCCCAAUAGCAAAGUCUCCAUCCCAGAACUCUCUUCGUAAUGCUAGUCUGUCUUGUUGCCAAAAGGAAAAUGUUUGUUGUGUCCCAGGUUGGAAGGUCCCAGGUUUGUUGUGUCCCUGACCUUAUUCUCUAUAUCUCUACUUUAUCUCCCUAUAUUAUAUAGUAUUGUGUCUCAGAGAGCAGAACAGAACACCAGAGAAAAUGAGGAGCAGAGCGGAUACUUGCUUAAAACCCAAUUUGCAAAAUAUGCAGAAGAGAUGCUGUUUGGCCUUUCUUCUCCGCUGUUGACAUUUUUGCCAUCUGCAGGGUCCCUUGCAGAAGAAGAUGUCAAAAUGGCUUCAUGUGCUGAUGAAAUAUAUAUAUAUUUAUCUUUACCCAGUGGAGCUGCAAUCUAAAAAGGUUAUCUUCAAAUGGAUGGAAUUGUGAAAGCCAGAAUGAUAUUCAUCAGCUGCACCAUUAUCUCAAACUGUAGAUUCAUUUCACCUUCUCCCUCCCACAGAAAACUAUGUUCCUCUAUUCAAGGAUCCAUGGAGAUUUUGGUGACUGUAUUUGAUUUAUUGUCCCACUAGUGCAAAACUUUAGAAAUUUGUAUACCUUUAUUCUAUUACCAUUCAAAUUUUGGCUCCCAUUAUUGGGGCUUCUGAGAAAUCAAACAUUGACUUAGAGAGAGAGAGAGAGAGAGAGAGAGAUGAAAUGCAAGAAUUUGAGCUUCCUUUUAGUAGAAGUCAUUGAUGUAUUGCAAUUGGAACUUAGAAUUGGUAAUCUCCUUUCAUUGAUGAUU
Rosa rugosa (rugosa rose) is the source of this 1075-nucleotide RNA transcript. RefSeq lists it as uncharacterized. The transcript is spliced from 5 exons. The record is from RefSeq and is a predicted model, not a curated record. NCBI's taxonomy places the organism in Eukaryota, Viridiplantae, Streptophyta, Magnoliopsida, Rosales, Rosaceae.